AGUAAAUAAUGCAAACAAAGGAAACAUAGCAUAUACACUAAAAUGUCAGUACACAUAGAAUUUGAUUAAAUUAUUAUUGUCACAUACCACUGCUAUUUGCACCAUUGUUAUUCUAAUUGCUAAACUGCGCAUGAAUGGAUUAACGAGAUUCUCACUGUCCCUAUUUACUAUGAAGCGAAACCACAAUCAAGGGAACAGGCUUGGCAAACAGAAAACACUGUUGAGUUUCGGUUAGAUGAGAAAUGAGAGAUGGAAAUGCAAGCUUACGUGCACAAAUUAAUGAAGAUGAUACGGGUAAUCAGUUGACUGUUAGCUGAUGACUUUUUUUUAUUUCAUAGGCUACUAUGUUUCUUAUUUCUCAUGUUUCGAAAUUUUUGAUUUAAGUUAAGUCACUUUGUAAUUUAACGACUCGCACCGAAGACAGUUCGACUGGGUGGUACAUCUGUCAACGCAGGUGUCCUAAGGCUAGUUCAGAGAGAAAGGAAACCUUUCGUAGAGUAAAAGUAAAAGGUAAAGUAGAGUAAAAGGUAAAGGCUCGUUUGAUCUUGAUUUUUAGUACGAAUACAGACCACGAAAGCGUGGCCUAUCGAUCCUUUUGAAUUUCUUAGAAGUUUCUAGCAAGAGGUGUCAGAAAAACACACACACAAGGAUCACUGGCUUGUGGCAGCCAAGCGUUCAUAGCGACGUUGCUUUUUGAUCCUUCGAUGUCGGCUCUUUCUAUCAUUGCGAGGCAUUGGAUUGUAUACCACCAGUAAGGAAUGUGAACUGGGUUUAAA
Molecule: non-coding RNA, 776 nt
Filed under: Brugia timori
Lineage: Eukaryota; Metazoa; Nematoda; Chromadorea; Rhabditida; Onchocercidae
Description: Eukaryotic large subunit ribosomal RNA
Rfam family: Eukaryotic large subunit ribosomal RNA
Source: Rfam by way of RNAcentral